Molecule: long non-coding RNA, 523 nt
Filed under: Vigna radiata
Lineage: Eukaryota; Viridiplantae; Streptophyta; Magnoliopsida; Fabales; Fabaceae
Description: long non-coding RNA (VRAD_LNC018071)
Source: RNAcentral
UUCUCGCUUGAUAUUUUUUUCUUUUUCUUAUUCUUGUUGAAUUUCUUCAUAAAGUUGAGAGCACCAAGCACAUAUUUCCAUGUUUCAACCAUAGGAACUUUAAUCUCCAAUUUCUUGAAGAUCUCCAUAAAGCACUUGACUUUCUUUUCCUUCCUAUGAUAUUUUUUUGAAUGAAGAAGGGGUUUUUCAUAUGAUCUUUUCUUCUUUCCCUUAUUCCUCUUUUUCUCAAUUUUCUCCUUCCUCAACUUUCUUUUUUCUUUUUUUCUUUUUUUCUUCUUUUUUUCUUUUUUGCAACCACUGCUUCUUCUUCAUCUAUCUUCUCCUUAUCUAUUUCUAUUUUUUUUCAUCUAUCUUCUCUUCAGCAACAACCUUUUUUGUUUCUAUUUCUUCUAUCUUUUUCACCUAUCUCUCUACCUUCUCCUCAUCAACAACCUCAUCAAUUUGUGUCUCCAAAUUCCCGAAGGUAACUUCAUAGCUCUUGGAAUCGCACUUCUCCAGGAAUUUGUCGAACUUUUCAUUAAAG